UACGGAAGGCAGCAGUGGGGAAUAUUGCACAAUGGGCGCAAGCCUGAUGCAGCCAUGCCGCGUGUAUGAAGAAGGCCUUCGGGUUGUAAAGUACUUUCAGUCGUGAGGAAGGUGUUAAGGUUAAUAACCUUAGCAAUUGACGUUAGCGACAGAGGAAGCACCGGCUAACUCCGUGCCAGCAGCCGCGGUAAUACGGAGGGUGCGAGCGUUAAUCGGAAUUACUGGGCGUAAAGGGCACGCAGGCGGUUAAUUAAGUUGGAUGUGAAAUCCCCGGGCUUAACCUGGGAAUGGCAUUCAAGACUGGUUAGCUAGAGUCUUGUAGAGGGGGUAGAAUUCCAUGUGUAGCGGUGAAAUGCGUAGAGAUGUGGAGGAAUACCGGUGGCGAAGGCGGCCCCUGGACAAAGACUGACGCUCAUGUGCGAAAGCGUGGGGAGCAAAC
This 439-nucleotide ribosomal RNA is filed under the name uncultured bacterium. Its description in RNAcentral is "bacterial SSU rRNA". It matches the Rfam family "Bacterial small subunit ribosomal RNA", at positions 340 to 773 of the family's 1533-position model. The record is from RNAcentral.